GACAAAUGGUUGGUGUAUCCCCCAUUCGUGAGAGAGAAGGACGGGCUGGGACCCGGGCCGAACACAUCCGCCGCCAUCGUGUGCAUUGACGGUCCUGUUAGCCCCGGCUCUGGGCUGGGAGAGUCCCCAUAAUCAGGAGAUAUGGUGGAAUAAAGGUUGAAUUUCAUAUCUUGGGAAAAUAACAUUCGAGAAAGGAAGGAACUCUUAAAAUGACAAAAAGAUCGCUUGGGGAGAUACCCUGAUAGCAGCCGGCACACUUGGUACCAAAACGACUGAAAAGCACCACAGUAGGGAGAAAAUGGUCAAAGGAAUUCUUAAUUCUUGUCCAGGGGCGUACAAACGGAAGAAACGUCGCCUAUAUUUGUAUAGAUCUGCGUUAUCAAGCAACCGAGACCAGAUUAAAUCGGGACCGACACAUCGGCGUGUGACAGAUUGAUCAGUGGACUAUUACAUUUAGAAAAUCGACUGAAAAUGAGCGCAAACAAUUUAUGAGAAAUCUAUGUCAGCAAACUGGCCAAAAGUGACAGAAUGUUAUGUGGGGUGCCUCACAAUGAACCAGACUGACAUUGUC
Pristis pectinata (smalltooth sawfish) is the source of this 571-nucleotide long non-coding RNA. RefSeq lists it as uncharacterized. The record is from RefSeq and is a predicted model, not a curated record. Lineage: Eukaryota; Metazoa; Chordata; Chondrichthyes; Rhinopristiformes; Pristidae. The transcript is spliced from 4 exons.